RNAcentral lists this ribosomal RNA (253 nucleotides) under uncultured bacterium. RNAcentral describes it as "partial 16S ribosomal RNA". It matches the Rfam family "Bacterial small subunit ribosomal RNA", at positions 524 to 776 of the family's 1533-position model. The record is from RNAcentral.
UACAGAGGUGGCAAGCGUUGUUCGGAAUUACUGGGCGUAAAGGGCGCGUAGGCGGGCAGGUAAGUCCGUGGUGAAAUCUCUGAGCUUAACUCAGAAACUGCCAUGGAUACUAUUUGUCUUGAAUGUUGUGGAGGUAAGCGGAAUAUGUCAUGUAGCGGUGAAAUGCUUAGAUAUGACAUAGAACACCAAUUGCGAAGGCAGCUUACUACACAAAUAUUGACGCUGAGGCACGAAAGCGUGGGGAUCAAACAGG